RNAcentral lists this ribosomal RNA (424 nucleotides) under uncultured bacterium. RNAcentral describes it as "bacterial SSU rRNA". It matches the Rfam family "Bacterial small subunit ribosomal RNA", at positions 355 to 776 of the family's 1533-position model. The record is from RNAcentral.
UAGGGAAUAUUGGGCAAUGGAUGCAAGUCUGACCCAGCCAUGCCGCGUGCAGGAAGAAGGUCCUCUGGAUUGUAAACUGCUUUUAUCGGGGAAGAAUAGUUUUCUUGCGAGGGAAUGUGACGGUACCCGAUGAAUAAGCCACGGCUAACUACGUGCCAGCAGCCGCGGUAAUACGUAGGUGGCAAGCGUUGUCCGGAUUUAUUGGGUUUAAAGGGUGCGUAGGUGGUUUGAUAAGUCAGUGGUGAAAGCCGGUUGCUCAACAAUCGAGUUGCCAUUGAUACUGUCAGACUUGAGAGAAGUGGAGGUUCAUGGAAUGGAUGGUGUAGCGGUGAAAUGCAUAGAUAUCAUCCAGAACGUCGAUUGCGAAGGCAGUGGGCUGUACUUUUUCUGACACUGAGGCACGAAAGCGUGGGGAUCAAACAGG